GCGAGUGCGGCGCCGCCACCGCCGGCAACUUUGUGAGCGAGUUCAGUGCGUGCGUGAGCGAGUGAGCGAAAAAGUCAGUGCGGCGCCGAGUCCGGGAGGAGGGUCCCCGGGGAGGGCCAGGUCUGGGCUUCAGAGGCCGCCCCCGAGCCACUUCAUCCUCUCCCGCCUCCCUGGCUCCCUCCCCAUUUCCUCCCCCCACGGGUCCUCCCGGGCCUUCCGCCCCCUUCUGCAGUUACCUGUCCCCUCCCCCACUCGGCACGCACCUCCCCUUUCCCCCGCGCCCACCUCCGACCUCCGGACCCUGGACUCGCAGCCGCGUCGCGCUCGCUCCCCGCGCCGGCCGCCCCCUCCGCUCUUUCUCCUGGGGGCAGGCGGGCGGAAUGGGGGGCGCUGAGCCUCGGAGGCGGCGCGAGCGGAGACCCGGGCGCCCAGACAAUAGUUGAUGCCGGGGGGACGGGGGCACCUCCGCCCCCCCACUUUGCCAGGAUCGCGGCCCCCGCCGGCAGCUCUCCAGCCUGCAUUCCGGGUCCCCCUCGGAGCCAGGCUCCGGAGUUGGGCACAUUCCGCCCCCGCCUCCCCGGACCCCCCUGCGUUCGGCGCCCGCCCCGGCCCGGCCUCGCUGCCUGCCGUUCUCCGCAGAGGAGGCGGCGAGGAGCGCGCGCCGACCGUCUACACGGUUUCUCUUUCUCCCCAGGGAGAGCGCGCGGCGGACGCGCCCCGGACGCGCGGCGGCACCCGGAGGCCGGGCCCAGCGGUUUUGAGAGGAUUCCUCAAGUUUGACCUCAAGCAAGAUUCACUACUAACUUUGAAGUAGAAUAAGGUUGUACAUUGUUCAUGUGGAUGCUAUUGGCUAAAUUUCUAUAGCAAUGGCACGAGAAUAUAGCACCUGUGAUCUGACCAAGUCACAGCCUGCUUUCCAUAGUCGUAUUUUGACUCCAGCAUACCCAUGCCUGCUGUGUCAUCCUGAUGCCCUGUGUGGCCACAUGCAUCAUAAUACCAACACCCUUUACAUCCCCUUCCAAAAAUGUGAAGAAUGGUAAGAGAAGUAAGCCAAGGACACCAUCCUGGAAUCACUAGCUUUGCACUGGAGCCCAACAAUGAUACUGAGGAGCCAGCAAAAAGAAAGAGGCAAGAGAAAAAUGAAGAACAUGGUUAUCAUGGAAGUGCAGAGAAGAGAGAGUUUCAGGAAGGAGGGAGGGAUCAAGAGUGUACAUGUCUCAAAGAGCCAGUAUGACAAGAACUGUUUUUACACCUGGAGCUUCCCUGGAGGGGAGGGACUGUUUCCUCAAAUAUCCUCGCACCCAGUGUGUACUCAGUGCUCAGAGAGAAUGCAGAAAAGCUGGGGAUGAUUUAGAGGAGAGGAGGAAGCACUUUUCCUAGAAGAUUGGCGUUAUCAGCAAAGGGCGAGGGUUACGAUGUGAUAAACCUUGAGUGAUGAAGGCUUCCAGCUAGUAGAAUUUGGGUGCGUCGUCUUGUUUUCUGAAUUCCGUGAACUUGCUGAACUUAAACAAUGAGAUUGGGAUUCUAGCUGCAUGGAUCUACCGUGGAGUCUGAAAUAGUACCUAGAGCUGUGGUAUGAAACUUGUAACAAGGACAUUUUUUGUAUAGUUUACUCCUUCAACAGAUGCAGUUGACAUGCUGUAAAUUAGUAUUGCUCUUCUAUUUAAUUCUGUUGCUUUUUAUCUUAUUUAUUAAUGCUCAGGCAGGUUUGUUGACAAUUACGAGAAUUGCAAAUAAGUGUCACCAUGUGUUUGCUAUUUCCAUUAAC
Molecule: long non-coding RNA, 1768 nt
Organism: Equus asinus (donkey)
Lineage: Eukaryota; Metazoa; Chordata; Mammalia; Perissodactyla; Equidae
Source: Ensembl